This 3828-nucleotide ribosomal RNA is filed under the name Allogromia sp. 3132. RNAcentral describes it as "SSU rRNA". The stretch from base 472 to 3828 matches the Rfam family "Eukaryotic small subunit ribosomal RNA". The record is from RNAcentral. Lineage: Eukaryota; Foraminifera.
CUCAAAGAUUAAGCCAUGCAAGUGGUUAUAUUAACCCGACAGUUUAAAUAAGUGUUAUAUUGCUAUACUAAUACGCUUUAAUACAAUACAAAGAAGAAUCGAUUUGAUUUUUAGUAAAAUAAUUAUCAAUAUCAGCUUUGUGAUUACCUGAAAAUAUUAUCAGUAUCACUUACGCAACUGCAGACAGCUGCUUAAUACAGUCACACUUGUCUUGACUUGGCAUUUACAAUAAUGCACUGGUUGUUGGAUUGAGUAUUCACGUAUUCUUUCUCUCGCCAUGCAUUAUUAUUAUACAAAAUAUUAUAUAUUAAUUAAAUAUGUAUAUUUUUCAGAUUUAUACGAUUUCUCUGUAACAUUAUUUUAAAUUUUUAUUGUUACACCAACCGUGUCCACAAUGUUUAUUUGGAUAACUCAGGGAAAGUUUGGCUAAUACGUACGAGAUUUUAUUUCAUAAGAACUCAAAUUAUAUUGUACCCGAUCGAAUCCGAUUUAUGUACUUAAUUAAUAAACCGCGCUUGCCAGGGCAGGUUAACGCCUGUUCUGAGUGGUCAACACGCGCACACAUACACACACACACACAUACGCGACACAUAUUAUUGAACACUAAAGCGCAGUGAGCACCACAAAUGUUCACUAUAAACUUUCUCAGCUCUUAUUGGUAAAUUUUGAUUUGUCAGUCUUCGGACGGGCAUUUCUGUCAAAAAUUUAAACGCAGCAUGAAAGACAAUAAGCACGCUAGUGUAAUUUGCUUCGGUAAAUUGCACAACUUAAAGCUGAGCAGACUUUGCGAAGAUUACUUUGCGAAGCAUGUCAUACAAGCAUCUACAGCAUCAAGUCACAGGGUUGGCAAGUGUAUUUUUGAACCUUCAAAGCAGUCACGCAUACGGAAGAGUAGUUUCUGAUCCCAUAGAAGGAGCACCGUACAUUGAGAGACCGCUCUUAGUUCUAAGGAACGCAGCAGGCGCGUAAAUUGCCCAAUGUUAGUACACUACAAUACUAAGCAUUAACAAUUUACAAUGAAAAACAAUUAUUAUGUAUUAUUAUUAAUUUCACUAUUAAUAUUAAUAUGUAUUUUUGUUUGUAUUUUUAAAUAGCAAAUUAUAUAACACCUUUGCCAAACAUGUCAAAUCAUAUCAUUUAUACCAUUAAAUAUAUUAUAUAUUUUUAAUAUUUUAAAAAUAUUAUCCUUGUUCAUUUUGUUAUUCAGUAUUCUUUUACUGAGGCAGUGACAAGCUGUAACGGUUGAGUAUUUAAAUGACAAGCGCCUGGCAUUGCCGCCUGUGUAUUCAGGCUUGGCAGUUCGCCGGCGCUUUGUAUGCUCAAUUGGAAUGCGGUGAGUUUAAGCAACUCAGAACCUUUGAAUCGUGUUUGUGAAAAAUCUUACACUUUUCUUGUAUCUGAAUUUUCAAGUGGAGGGCAAGUCUGGUGCCAGCAGCCGCGGUAAUACCAGCUCCAUUAGCCUAUACAAUCAUUGUUGCGGUUAAGAGGCUCGUAGUUGGAUUGAACGCUAAUAUUAAAAAAAUGUGAAUAAAACAAAACAAUAUUCAAAUUUUAAUUAGCUUACGUUACUUUAUUUUUAUGUGUCGUACUUUGUUAGGUAAUUACUUUCAUUAGGUGACUUCGCUUUUGUGAGGUUAAUUUAGGUUGGUAUUUACUUCACUUUGCUCACACACUAAUUUUUCGUGACGUUCGACUAAUUUUUAUGCUUUAGAUUAUAUUUCUUUAUAUUCGUUUGUUGUGACACGCGAACAAAACACACACACACACACUACGUUUGCUGUUUUUUAUUUACACACACUUUCAACACUGUGAACAAAUCAGAGUGUACCAAACAUGUCUUUUCAAAAUGUGCAUUGAAUGUCUUAUCAUGGAAUGUUGCACAAAACAUCUAAAAAAUUUACUUUUUAUCUUUUUACACACACACACAUAUAUAUGUUAUGAUAUGAUACAGGUACAAUAAACUUGGAUUGAAUCCACAGUAAAAAUAAUACAAUACAACAAAUACUAAUAAAAAGUUAAUUUUUUACGGUUAAAAAUGUCGAUGGGGAUAGUUGGAGUCAAGAGUACUGCUGGGCGAGAGGUGAAAUUCUUUGACCCUAGCAAGACUACCAAAAGCGAAAGCACUUGGCUAGGCUACACUCUUUGUGAAUUUAAAAAAUAACAAUAUAAUUAUUAUUAAACGUUCACAUACACACACACACAAAACAAAAUGAGAACGCGAUAAAAAUAUUAUUAUAUAUGUUUUUAAAACACUUUACAAUGAAGAACGAAGGUUGGGGGAUCAAAGAGGAUCAGAUACCCUCGUCGUCCCAUUAAUUACAUCAANCGAUGGGCUCUCAAUUGCAUAUACUAUUUUAGAUAGUAAUGCCCUCAACCUACAAAAGAUUUGGCUCGAGCUCGUGUUUCGGCACGCUCGCCUAUUUUACGUACGGUUUCGAUGGACGUUUCUUUUAAAAAUUCUUUGCGUGUAAGCAUUUUAAUAUUCUUAUGAAAUAUUUUGAAUAUAUGCGUGCACAUGAUUUUCGGAGCUUUGCGCUCAUAUUUAUUCUGGUGAGAUGUAAGCACUAUGUGGUCUGCCCGGCAGCAGUUCAGUGGGCUGAAGUUGUUUUAUUAUAGCUUUAGUCUCUGGAUUAUCAAUGUUGUUUGUGUGCAGAUUGCAAUAAUUGGUGUGAAGCACGUUUUAGGCACGCGCUUACUGCAGAAAUGUCUGAGACAUUCCCCUCCGGGGGUAGUAUGCACGCAAGUGUGAAACUUGAAGGAAUUGACGGAAGGGCACCACAAGAACGCGUGGAGCAUGUGGCUUAAUUUGACUCAACGCGGGAAAUCUUACCGGGUCCGGACACACUGAGGAUUGACAGGCAAAAUUAUUUAUAUGCCUAAUUUUUUUUAGGUAUUUUAUAUGCAAAUAUGCUAGUCCUUUCAUGAUUAUGUGAUAGGUGGUGCAUGGCCGUUCUUAGUUCGUGGAGUGAUCUGUCUGCUUAAUUGCGUUUCACCAAGGGCUUAUAAAAAACGUACGUUGCGCCGUUUCGAUCCCGCUUUUUAUUAAGUGUGUGGUCUUAGCGUUUUGCGCGUACAAAUAGGCCCUGAAAGCAACGAACGUGACCGCAACCUCUUGUUGCCUUUAUUCCAAAUAGCAUUGUUUGGCGAGGGAUUUAUUCAGCGCUUUACUUUGCUAAAAAAGAGGCUUAAAAACUAGAGGGACCGCUGUAUCUUCUUUAAACCAGAGGAAGGUUGCGGCAAUAACAGGUCUGUGAUGCCCUUAGAUGUUCCGGGCUGCACACGUGCUACAAUGAUUAUUGCAGUGAGCAUCUCAAAUACACACGGCUUGCGCAGACGGUUUAUUCGUUUUUUAUUAAGCGUUUAAUCUCGUUUUUGCGCGCCGUAAAGCCUGCUUCGAAAGUAAGUAGGUAAUCAAUUAGAAGUAAUGAUUUCCCAGCUUUUUAAAGUAUAGCACGCUUAUAUGCGGCGUUUGUACCCUUGUUCUGGCCUCGAGUCGGUUCAUGCGUGUUACUUAACGUUAAUUUUUUCUUAAAAUUAUUCGCAUGUGCUUUUGUCAAUUCAAGGUGGGGACAGACCAUUGUUAAUUGUUGGUCUCGGUUCAACUAGGAAUGCCUUGUACAGGUCUUUGGUUCAACAAACCACCUGGAAUACGUCCCUGCCCUUUGUACACACCGCCCGUCGCUCUUACCGAUGGACUUCUCUGUGAGUUUGAGGGACUGGGUUAAUUUGUUUUUNCUUCGGGAAAAAUGAAGACACCUAUGGAAACUUAAACGAACAGUGUGGUCUAAAGGAAAGAGAAGUCGUAACAAGGCAUCGGUAGGUGAACCU